This 651-nucleotide ribosomal RNA is filed under the name uncultured bacterium. RNAcentral describes it as "bacterial SSU rRNA". It matches the Rfam family "Bacterial small subunit ribosomal RNA", at positions 139 to 808 of the family's 1533-position model. The record is from RNAcentral.
GGGGACAACAGCCAGAAAUGGCUGCUAAUACCGCAUAAUCCUGCGCUGCCGCAUGGCAGCGCAGGGAAAACUCCGGUGGUACAGGAUGGUCCCGCGUCUGAUUAGCUUGUUGGCGGGGUAACGGCCCACCAAGGCGACGAUCAGUAGCCGGCUUGAGAGAGCGGACGGCCACAUUGGGACUGAGACACGGCCCAGACUCCUGCGGGAGGCAGCAGUGGGGAAUAUUGCACAAUGGGGGGAACCCUGAUGCAGCAAUGCCGCGUGGGUGAAGAAGUACCCCGGUAUGUAAAGCCCUGUCAGCAGGGAAGAAAAUGACGGUACCUGACUAAGAAGCCCCGGCUAACUACGUGCCAGCAGCCGCGGUAAUACGUAGGGGGCGAGCGUUAUCCGGAUUUACUGGGUGUAAAGGGAGCGCAGGCGGCGUGGCAAGUCAGAUGUGAAAACCCGGGGCCCAACCCCGGGACUGCAUUUGAAACUGCCAUGCUGGAGUGCCGGAGAGGCAAGUGGAAUUCCUAGUGUAGCGGUGAAAUGCGUAGAUAUUAGGAGGAACACCAGUGGCGGAGGCGGCUUGCUGGACGGUAACUGACGCUGAGGCUCGAAAGCGUGGGGAGCAAACAGGAUUAGAUACCCUGGUAGUCCACGCCGUAAACG